RNAcentral lists this non-coding RNA (25 nucleotides) under Rattus norvegicus (Norway rat). Lineage: Eukaryota; Metazoa; Chordata; Mammalia; Rodentia; Muridae. The record is from RNAcentral.
UCCCAAACAAUGGCAGCUAAGAAAC